This 780-nucleotide ribosomal RNA is filed under the name Bacillus amyloliquefaciens. RNAcentral describes it as "bacterial SSU rRNA". It matches the Rfam family "Bacterial small subunit ribosomal RNA", at positions 60 to 822 of the family's 1533-position model. Lineage: Bacteria; Bacillati; Bacillota; Bacilli; Caryophanales; Bacillaceae. The record is from RNAcentral.
AGUCGAGCGGACAGAUGGGAGCUUGCUCCCUGAUGUUAGCGGCGGACGGGUGAGUAACACGUGGGUAACCUGCCUGUAAGACUGGGAUAACUCCGGGAAACCGGGGCUAAUACCGGAUGGUUGUUUGAACCGCAUGGUUCAGACAUAAAAGGUGGCUUCGGCUACCACUUACAGAUGGACCCGCGGCGCAUUAGCUAGUUGGUGAGGUAACGGCUCACCAAGGCAACGAUGCGUAGCCGACCUGAGAGGGUGAUCGGCCACACUGGGACUGAGACACGGCCCAGACUCCUACGGGAGGCAGCAGUAGGGAAUCUUCCGCAAUGGACGAAAGUCUGACGGAGCAACGCCGCGUGAGUGAUGAAGGUUUUCGGAUCGUAAAGCUCUGUUGUUAGGGAAGAACAAGUGCCGUUCAAAUAGGGCGGCACCUUGACGGUACCUAACCAGAAAGCCACGGCUAACUACGUGCCAGCAGCCGCGGUAAUACGUAGGUGGCAAGCGUUGUCCGGAAUUAUUGGGCGUAAAGGGCUCGCAGGCGGUUUCUUAAGUCUGAUGUGAAAGCCCCCGGCUCAACCGGGGAGGGUCAUUGGAAACUGGGGAACUUGAGUGCAGAAGAGGAGAGUGGAAUUCCACGUGUAGCGGUGAAAUGCGUAGAGAUGUGGAGGAACACCAGUGGCGAAGGCGACUCUCUGGUCUGUAACUGACGCUGAGGAGCGAAAGCGUGGGGAGCGAACAGGAUUAGAUACCCUGGUAGUCCACGCCGUAAACGAUGAGUGCUAAGUG